AAGUCGUAACAAGGUUUCCGUAGGUGAACCUGCGGAAGGAUCAUUAACACGUAUCCAACGUAAAAAACCCCCCUGUGAACAUUCAAACCUGCUCUCGUAGCCCAGUCGUCCAGCAUAACUAAAAAACCUCGAACAACUGUUAACAAUGGAUAUCUUGGUUCUC
RNAcentral lists this unclassified non-coding RNA (163 nucleotides) under fungal sp. Its description in RNAcentral is "partial internal transcribed spacer region". The stretch from base 1 to 46 matches the Rfam family "Eukaryotic small subunit ribosomal RNA", at positions 1786 to 1831 of the family's 1831-position model. Lineage: Eukaryota; Fungi. The record is from RNAcentral.